RNAcentral lists this unclassified non-coding RNA (350 nucleotides) under plant metagenome. RNAcentral's name for it is "partial contains 5.8S ribosomal RNA, internal transcribed spacer 2, and large subunit ribosomal RNA". The stretch from base 1 to 105 matches the Rfam family "5.8S ribosomal RNA", at positions 50 to 154 of the family's 154-position model. The record is from RNAcentral.
GAAAUGCGAUAAGUAAUGUGAAUUGCAGAAUUCAGUGAAUCAUCGAAUCUUUGAACGCACCUUGCGCUCCCUGGUAUUCCGAGGAGCAUGCCUGUUUGAGUGUCAUGGAAUUCUCAACUCUAUUUGCUUUUGUGAAUAGAGCUUGGAUUUGGAGGUUUAUUGCUGGUACUUGUGAUCGGCUCCUCUUGAAUGCAUUAGCUCGAACCUUUGCGGAUCAGCUAUCGGUGUGAUAAUUGUCUACGCCGUUGCAGUGAAGCAUAUCAAUGGGCUCGGCUUCCAAUCGUCCUUUACUGGACAAUGACUUUGACCUUUGACCUCAAAUCAGGUAGGAUUACCCGCUGAACUUAAGC